RNAcentral lists this long non-coding RNA (694 nucleotides) under Podarcis muralis (Common wall lizard). RNAcentral's name for it is "lncRNA (ENSPMRG00000001552.1)". The record is from RNAcentral. Lineage: Eukaryota; Metazoa; Chordata; Lepidosauria; Squamata; Lacertidae.
UCUACACAAACACCCACCAUGUUACAUGGCUGUUCUCUUGCUAGGAAACACUGCUCAAGUUGACGGGAACAGCAGCUUACCCGUGAGCAACGUACAGUUAUUCUGCAAUGAACCCACACUAGAAAUGGCGACAGCAGGAAUCCCUCCUGAACCAAGAGGAGGAGGAUAAGGAGAGAAUCAGAACAGGUGGAAUCCACACAACUUUUCUCCCAGCAGAGAAGCAACUAUGACAGCAGGGACCCCUUCUAAACCAAACACUGACAGCAUUCAUUCACAGGCCCAGUAUACCUGAAGGAGCGUCUCCAACCCCAUCGUUCUUCCCGGACACUGAAGUCCAGCGCCAAGGGCCUUCUGGCGGUUCCCUCAUUGCGAGAAGCAAAGCUACAGGGAACCAGGCAGAGGGCCUUGUCGGUAGUGGCACCCACCCUGUGGAGCGCCCUCCCAUCAGAUGUCAAAGAGAUAAACAACUACCUGACAAAAAAAAAAUUUCAGAAGACAUCUUAAGGCUUAAGCUCUGAAGUCCUGCUACAGUUUGAAGGCAAACAAAAGAGUAUCUCUGGUACAAGAAAAUCCAGACUGAGGAAAGGAAAAGUGUGGGAAAGCAGUGAUUUGGAAGUGAACAUCAUAUGGUCAACUGAGAAUCAAUGGAGAUGCAGGACUAGCUACGUGAAACAACAAUAUGAAUGAACCCUUA